CAACAUUUAAGAAUCAUGAACUCACUCCUAGGACUGCCAAGCCAAAUGUAGUUAAAUGAUUACUGGACCCAAGGCAAAAGGGGGUUGGCAUUAGGCUAGUGUGGGUGAAUUAAGGGAUUUCUUGCAUUUUUGUAAGCAGCUAGCUAUUCUGUGAAGAGAUGUUGUAUUAAAUAUGUGUUUCACUGUAGGUUUCCAAUGCAAGAUCUUGAGAACAUGCAGAGCCUUAUGCUUUCCAAGCAAAUAAUAAUAAUCUUUAGCUCCAUUUUAUUGUUUAUCAGAACCAGCUUAUGGCUUUGUCUCAGAACAAUUCUGAAAACACAAUUCAAAGCUUUGAAUGGUUAAUUUACAGUGGACUGAAGCUUCACAUAUCUGACGAAUGCAGGGUAAGAAGUGCUCAGAGUAUAGCUAUUCUCUUCCGUAAGGGCUCUACAGACAUAUCCAGAUCUACCACAUAGGAACAAAUAUUGUUUGAAAGCAUCAAUACUUUACAAAGGAGGCAUCUGUCAGCAUUAACACUGAUUGUAAGACGCUAAAACUUUAGGAGUCACACUAUCUCAGCAGAUACAACCUUUCUAUUACCAUACCACUAUAGAAUACAAUUUUGAAUUCAUACACUAUACCGCUAUGCCAGGCCCCACUUGAGAUCUUCAUUCUUCCCGGAAAAAAUCUUAGUGUUUCCAGAGCACUUAGCUAUUUGUUUGCCAAAUAGCAUUGUCUCAUUCUUUGAUUAGUAUUAUUGUUCUGAAGAAACAUAUAAUAUGGGAAACUGUAAUUGUUUUCAUAGAAUGAUUCACUUCUCUGUGCAGAAAUUAUGUUGUGUCCUAUUGGUAACUGUGUGCAUCACAUCCUUCAAACACCAGAAGGAUAUUGUCUCUGUAGUAACUGCAUGAUUGUUGUUAAUUGCUGUUUUCCUGCAGUUACAACUAUAGCAAUUGCAAUUGCUUAACGUGCAAAAGCAUUACUGGGGAAGAAUGCAGUUUACAUUUAUCUUCAUUAAUAGAAUCCAGUAUUUGGAAAUGAGGAGCAACCAUCAUGCUGUGUUCAUUUGUUCCUUUGGGGCGUAUGAACAUCUGCUUACUAUGCUGUCCUAUAGAGACAAUUAUUCCACCAUCACAAUUUCCAUGAUGUUAUGUGGCAGAAAAAUGCAGCACGUAAGAUGUUUGAAGUUAUUUAAUCUUUCCAUUCUUCGAGGAAGAAGUCUGGUACCCAGAAUUCAGUUAUGACUUCAGAAGGAACAAUUGUCUCUGUGUGCCUAAUUGACUACUUUUAACAUGCUUCUGAAAGGUAUGAAUAGGAUAACAUACAAUACGUAAAGAUAACAGCAGAGAAUAUCAGGGGUC
This 1340-nucleotide long non-coding RNA is filed under the name Podarcis lilfordi (Lilford's wall lizard). Lineage: Eukaryota; Metazoa; Chordata; Lepidosauria; Squamata; Lacertidae. The record is from RNAcentral.